CCUGAACGCUGGCGGCGUGGCUAAGACAUGCAAGUCGCACGGUGUAGCAAUACACAGUGGCGAACGGGUGAGUAAUGAAUCGCUAAUGUACCCUGGACUCUGGGAUAGCUGGCCGAAAGGCCAGGUAAUACCAGAUGAGACCACAAGCAGGCAUCUGCUGGUGCUCAAAGGUCCGCCGGUCUGGGAGCAGGCGAUUUCGUAUCAGCUAGUUGGUGAGGUAACGGCUCACCAAGGCGACGACGCGUAGCCGGACUGAGAGGUUGGCCGGCCACAUCGGGACUGAGACACUGCCCGGACUCCGUACGGGGG
RNAcentral lists this ribosomal RNA (309 nucleotides) under uncultured bacterium. Its description in RNAcentral is "bacterial SSU rRNA". It matches the Rfam family "Bacterial small subunit ribosomal RNA", at positions 30 to 347 of the family's 1533-position model. The record is from RNAcentral.